RNAcentral lists this long non-coding RNA (282 nucleotides) under Helianthus annuus (common sunflower). RNAcentral's name for it is "sRNA HanXRQr2_Chr03g0096961". The record is from RNAcentral. Lineage: Eukaryota; Viridiplantae; Streptophyta; Magnoliopsida; Asterales; Asteraceae.
UCAGUAAAGAAGAAGAUUUAACGUGAAGUCUCACAUGAAUAAAGACCACUUUGAUGAUACAAACUUCAAUGUUCAAGGCUCCAUAUCGGUUCUGGUGGACUAAGCAUAUAUGAUGGAUCUUGAUAGCCUUAGGUUCAUUGUAAAGAAAUUAUGUUAUGCAGCACAUUCUCGAGCUGCGGAUUCCUUCGGUCGUGUCCACGCUGACCUCUCAAUUUAAGGGUAACAUGUGCAGCUAACAAUUCAAAAAUUCAGCAGCCAUGUGGUAGAGAAAUAUUUAGCUGU